Molecule: microRNA precursor, 100 nt
Organism: Anolis carolinensis (green anole)
Lineage: Eukaryota; Metazoa; Chordata; Lepidosauria; Squamata; Anolidae
Gene: aca-mir-429
Product: aca-mir-429
Source: Ensembl
AUUCCCACCGCCUGCUGAUCGCUGUCUUACCAGACAAAGUUAGAUCUUAGCUAUCCCCGUCUAAUACUGUCUGGUAAUGCCGUCGAUCGCAUUGGCAAUG